AAUAAGUGCAGUUUUGCACUGUUCACGUUCAACGUUUGACCGUCCGUCUUAUUUGAAAAUUUUUUAUGAUUAGUAUUUUUAUUGCUAUUAGAUGAUAAAACAUGAAUAGUACUUUAUGUGUGACUAAAUGUUUUUAAUUUUUUCACAAAUUUUUCAAAUAAGACGGACGGUCAAACGCUAAACGUGAAUAGUGCAAAACUGCACUUAUU
Oryza sativa Indica Group (long-grained rice) is the source of this 209-nucleotide microRNA precursor. It matches the Rfam family "MIR812 microRNA precursor family". The record is from Rfam. Lineage: Eukaryota; Viridiplantae; Streptophyta; Magnoliopsida; Poales; Poaceae.